This 460-nucleotide ribosomal RNA is filed under the name uncultured bacterium. RNAcentral describes it as "partial 16S ribosomal RNA". It matches the Rfam family "Bacterial small subunit ribosomal RNA", at positions 338 to 795 of the family's 1533-position model. The record is from RNAcentral.
CCUACGGGCGGCAGCAGUGAGGAAUAUUGGUCAAUGGUCGAGAGUCUGAACCAGCCAAGUAGCGUGAAGGAUGACUGCCCUAUGGGUUGUAAACUUCUUUUAUCUGGGAAUAAAAUGUUCCACGUGUGGGAUUUUGUAUGUACCAUAUGAAUAAGGAUCGGCUAACUCCGUGCCAGCAGCCGCGGUAAUACGGAGGAUCCGAGCGUUAUCCGGAUUUAUUGGGUUUAAAGGGAGCGUAGGUGGGUUGUUAAGUCAGUUGUGAAAGUUUGCGGCUCAACCGUAAAAUUGCAGUUGAAACUGGCAGUCUUGAGUACAGGAGAGGUAGGCGGAAUGCGUGGUGUAGCGGUGAAAUGCUUAGAUAUCGCGAAGAACUCCGAUUGCGAAGGCAGUUCACUGGACUGAAACUGACGCUGAGGCUCGAAAGUGUGGGUAUCAAACAGGAUUAGAUACCCUUGUAGUC